CUGCAGCCCGAGUAGUGAUCGUUAUUAUUGGGCCUAAAACGUCCGUAGCCUGUUUGGUAAAUGCUUGGGUAAAUCGUGUGGCUUAACCAUACGAAUACCGGGUAGACUGCCAGACUUGAGACCGGGAGAGGUUGGAGGUACUCCUGGGGUAGAGGUGAAAUUCUGUAAUCCUGGGGGGACCACCAGUGGCGAAGGCGUCCAACCAGAACGGGUCUGACGGUGAGGGACGAAGCCCUGGGGCGCAAACCGGAUUAGAUACCCGAGUAGUCC
This 270-nucleotide ribosomal RNA is filed under the name uncultured archaeon. Its description in RNAcentral is "partial 16S ribosomal RNA". It matches the Rfam family "Archaeal small subunit ribosomal RNA", at positions 477 to 747 of the family's 1478-position model. The record is from RNAcentral.